AAGUCUAAAGUUAAGGUAAACUUCGUCAUACGUCGUGAGAUGUUUACAAAUUUAUUGGGUUAUCAUGAUUGUUGACGAGAUUGUGGGUUAAGGUUAGCGCUAUAAUCUAGCCCUGUUACCGCUAGCUACGAGAACGUAGUUAAAAACGUUGAGAUAUACUGAUGCGAAACACGGUCCACGGAGGGUUGAGAGAUUAAGAUGGAAAUGAUGUUUACAGUCAUCUUUCAUGGAAACAAGACCAGCUACCUGUAAAUUAAAUAUAUAUAUAUUAGAUAAGAUUUUGAAAUAUAUGAAUCAAACAUCUUAAUCUGGGCUGAAAAGAAAAGGGACAUAUAUCAGAACAAAUCUUGUCUUUCAGAGAUAGCUGUUCCCAUGAUCUUGGCUACUGAUUUAAAUGACUAAAAAGGAUAAAAUGAGAUUUAUAAUAAUCUUACCAUAUGAAUGUAGAUGAAUAAACUAUAACAGAUAAUAACAAUUAUGGAUGUAGAUAUCCAAUGAUAACCUUGUAACAAAUGAUAUAA
Molecule: long non-coding RNA, 521 nt
Organism: Patella vulgata (common limpet)
Lineage: Eukaryota; Metazoa; Mollusca; Gastropoda; Patellidae
Exons: 4
Source: RefSeq, a predicted model, not a curated record